CAUUCAGAUGUAACAAAAGUCAUGAACAGGCAAAGGCAAAAUCCAGGUAGCCGACAAGUAAAUGAAAACAGAGAUGCAGGGGCUUCUGGGUGGCUCAGUCUGUUAAGCAUCCGACUCUUGGUUUCGGCUCAGGUCAUGAUCUCUCCUCGUUUGUGGGUUUGAGCCCCAUCUUGGGCUCUGCACUGUCAGUACAGAGCCUGCUUGGGAUUCAUUCUCUCUCCCUCUCUGUUUGCCCUUCCCCUGUUCUGUCUCUCUCUCUCUCAAAAUAAAUAAACUUAAAAAAGAAAAAAAACAGAGAUGCAGAUACCAAUUUUAUCCACUAGAUUGACAGCGAUCAGAAAAUAGGAUACCAAAUAGGAUAUUAAAUGUGGAUGAAGACAGGGAACACUGGGAGUUCUCCAGCACAGCGGGCCGAACAGCACUGAUGAAGUGAGGUGUCUGGUUCUGUUCCGGAGGGCUGCCUCUCACGUUGGGGCCACACACCCCAGGAGGGCACCCGCACCAGGACACCCAUCAUAACCCUGUUGGAGAUGGCAUGUUGUGGAGGGAACCCAGGCUGGAUCCCUCAGAGUCCUAGCAGGAAACAGAUGGCAUGCCCAAAUCAGGAUCCUUUGAGGAGGGUUAAUUUAUAAAGGGACUGUUUACAAAAGUGUGGGUACAGGGAAACCCCAGAGAUAAUGCAGAAGCCCCAGGUUCAGAGCAGCAGAGACGAUACCGAAGCCAUUUGGGUUUGGCCAAGUGUUGUGUGGACAAGCAAGAUCCAGCCAGCUAUGGGUCUGCUGCCAGAAGGAUCCCCAGAAAGAAAUGCCCUGCCCCCCUGUCCCUCUCCACUCACCCCCCUCAGCCCCUCUUGGGACUUCUCUUUGGCCACACCCAAUCAGAAGCCAGAGAGCAAGGAGCCCAUUGUUGGGGUCAUAUGAGGCAUCCCGCUGGGCACAGAGCAGGAGGAGAGGGUGGAGGGGAGCCUGAAGGGAACGGAAGGAGUGUCCUUCCUUCCAGGGCGGGAGGAGUGUCCUCCGUGUCCUCCCACCCUGGAGAAAAGAGGAAUCACAGCACACACUUGCCUUGGAACACAACACGGCCAUCGGAAGAAGUAUAGACCUACAAACAACGUCAUUGGGUCUUAAAAUCUGGUGCUGAGUUAAAAAAAGACAACAAAGACACAAGAUGGAGAGCCCACCAUGUGCACACGUUUAAAUGCUCAUGUACACGAAGCCAAAUCUUCUCAAAGAUUCGCGGGACAUCCGAGGCACCAACCAGAAGGAGGGCCGUGGGAGCAGGGACUGGAGAUCUGUGAGGGAAAGAUGAAGAGCAAUAAAACAAGAGAGCCUCCCAGGACUGACUGAGCAAUGAGCAGGGUAGGUUCGACUCAGUGCCUCGCCUGGAGGACAGCGACAGAUUCCCUGAAUCCUGCUCCCCAGACACCCAUUUGUUGGAGACUUCAUACCUCCCUCCAGCCCCGGCUGCCUCUGAGGGGAUUGCUGACCACCCCACCCCCUACGAGACUUGUUGGGUUUCCUCGAAGGCUUGGGCCCACCCACAUGACUUCUGCAGGCCUGCCUGGUGCUCAGCACACAUCCUCUUCACUGAUCCUGGAGGCUGCUGAAAGGGGCUCUUUUCCAUCCUUGACUCUGGAAGUUCUCAUACACACCCGGCCCACCGUGCCUGGAUCUCCAAAUUUUGUUCAAAUUCGUUCAACUGCCCACAAUGGGGCAGAGGGGAGUCCAUAGUGACUCAUUUUCCCCAUCUGCUGAGAUGGCCUUUAACAAGUGAAGCCCAGCCAGAUGCUCCUGUGGGACCGAGAGACUGUCCACCUCCGAAGCGAGACCUUGGCUUCCAGGCCAGGAACACCUCCCAUGUGGAUCUUCAGACUCUCAUCCACCACUACCGUGAUGCAAUUCUAACCACCUGGAGUGAGCACAGAGUCCACAGGGCAAGACUGCCCCCACGUCCGUCACCAGCCACAGGCUCAGGGACCCCCAGGCCACGUGCAAUUCUGACCCACUGGCCACAAAUCUGGAGGGGGGGUUCAUGACCCCCAUCAGGUUUAGGAUUUUGCUAGGAUAACUCACAGAGCUCAGGGAUCUGGAAGUCAAGGUGAGAAGCUCAUUCAAUGUGAGCUUUACAACACCCUCGGACCAUCCACAGAGCGAAUGCUACUCUCUUCUGCUAUCAUGAAGGAAAGACUUAGUGCAUUGUGACCUGCCAGAAGUCACACAGCCAGCAGACCAGCCCACCCUCAGCCUGGGUCUUCUGAUGCUGAGACCAGGGCGUUUCCAGAACACCACGCUGAGACUUCAUAAUGUAAUUUGAAAGUUUGAACCAAAAGGGAUUCUGAGAAACAUUCAGUUGACAAGAAGCAGACAGCUCCUCCUCCUUCCCGCCCAUUCGUCUGCUCCCUGAGCCCUCUGGACAACGGGAGAAUUUAGUUUGAAUGCCCGUUUCUAACAACUCGGUUUCCCAAGUUUCUGAGCAACCCAGGCACCCACUAUUUGUCAUCAAGAGGGUGACCACUGUGUCUGCCCAGCUUGGUCAUGGACUGUGGCCUUCAGAUGGGAGAAGAUGCUUCCAGACUUUGCCUGGUCAUUCUUCUCCACACCUUAACUCACCUGGAAACAGAUGCAGCGAGAAGCAUCUUUCUCUGCCCGGCGGUCUCCUCACAGAUGUCUCCCGAAACAUUUUUUCACCACACCUUUUUGCCUUCAAAAAGGGAUCAACACACAGUCCCUGUCUGGGGAGCUGUGGUGCAGGGGAGUGUAGCAAGUUAAACCCAGUCUCCACCACUCACCGGGUAAUCUUGGACGCGUUAUUGGUCUCUCCCAGCUGUUUCUAUGCCCACAAGACAGAGGAGGAGGAAUGGUGUGUGUCCUCUCAUCCCCAGUUCCAACCACCCCCACCCCUGCUCCCUGCCCCGAGCCGGGGAUUCCAAGCAGAAAGCAGACCCCUUCGGGCGCCCAGCUGGGAUCAAUUCGGCAGAGCCACACAGAAUGUGAGAAGCCAAUCACUUCAAAGCCAGGUUUGCACAACUGUGUCCAUUCUUCCUCCAAGAAAUUUCACACCUUGACACCAAGGAGCCGGUGUUUAAGAAAGAGGAAUU
This is a long non-coding RNA of Acinonyx jubatus (cheetah), 3097 nucleotides long. RefSeq lists it as uncharacterized. The record is from RefSeq and is a predicted model, not a curated record. Lineage: Eukaryota; Metazoa; Chordata; Mammalia; Carnivora; Felidae. The transcript has 7 exons.